Molecule: ribosomal RNA, 428 nt
Filed under: uncultured bacterium
Lineage: Bacteria
Description: bacterial SSU rRNA
Rfam family: Bacterial small subunit ribosomal RNA
Source: RNAcentral
GGACCCGCACAAGUAGUGGAGCAUGUGGUUUAAUUCGAAGAUACGCGCAGAACCUUACCAACACUUGACAUGUUUGUCGCGACUUUAAGAGAUUAAAGUCUUCGGUUCGGCCGGACAAAACACAGGUGCUGCAUGGCUGUCGUCAGCUCGUGUCGUGAGAUGUUGGGUUAAGUCCCGCAACGAGCGCAACCCUCACUUUUAGUUGCCAUCAUUUAGUUGGGCACUCUGAAAGAACUGCCAGUGAUAAGCUGGAGGAAGGUGGGGAUGACGUCAAGUCCUCAUGGCCCUUACGUGUUGGGCUACACACGUGCUACAAUGGCAUUUACAAUAGGAAGCAAGAUGGCGACAUCAAGCAAAUCCUAAAAAAUGCCUCAGUUCGGAUUGUACUCUGCAACUCGAGUACAUGAAGCUGGAAUUACUAGUAAUCG